Ribosomal RNA from Carlito syrichta (Philippine tarsier), 94 nucleotides. Lineage: Eukaryota; Metazoa; Chordata; Mammalia; Primates; Tarsiidae. The record is from Ensembl.
ACACCCUGAAUGAAUCCACUCUCUUCUGAUCUCAGAAGCUAAGCAGAAUUGUGCUUGGCUAGUACUUGGAUGGGAUUCCUCCUGGGAGUAUGUC